Molecule: long non-coding RNA, 414 nt
Organism: Homo sapiens (human)
Lineage: Eukaryota; Metazoa; Chordata; Mammalia; Primates; Hominidae
Source: Ensembl
AUCAUAAGGGUAAAACUCAAAUUUUUACAUAUUUAUGUGGUUGGGGUGUGAAAAGUUUUUUAAUGGAGAGUUGACAUUGUCCUAGAAAAUUCUUCCGUAUGUGGCUUUUAAAUGUAUGAUUAUAGGCCAGGAGCGGUGGCUCACGCCUGUAAUCCCAGCACUUUGGGAAGCCGAGGCAGGCAGAUCACUUGAAGUCAGGACUCAAGUGACUUGUCCGCCUCAGCCUCCCACCAAAGUGUUGAGAUUACAGGGGUGAGCCCCUGCACCUGACCCAUAGCAGUUUUUCAUUUAAAAAAAUUAUUGUAUACUGUUCCAUGAUAUGAAUAUGCCACAAUUCAUUUAUCCAUUAUUGUGGAUGGACAUUAGGUUGUUUCCAGUUUGGGGCUAUUAUGAAUAAAAUUGAUAUGAACCUUC